Molecule: long non-coding RNA, 1667 nt
Organism: Bos taurus (domestic cattle)
Lineage: Eukaryota; Metazoa; Chordata; Mammalia; Artiodactyla; Bovidae
Source: Ensembl
AAAGAAUCAACAAGAUAACUUCAAAUGGUGAUAAGUGAUAUGAAAUAAUGAAGAAGAGCGAGGUUGGCCCAAGUGAGCAGAGAAGGCCACCCGGGAGUGCUCUGUCUGUGGCUUGAAGGAUGAAGAAGAGACAGCCACAGCUGGAGCUGAAGGGAGAGCAAUCCAGGCAGAGGGAACAGCAAGUGGACAGCAAGUGGAAAGGCCCAUAGAUGAGACAUGAUUGGAUUUACAAAUGACAGGAAGGAGGCGAAUGUGGCUGGAUUGAGCAAGUGGUAACAGAAAAGGCUGGGAAGGAACUGCAGUGGGGUUGGGGCAGAUCACAUAGAGCGCUGUUGGUGCUGGGGAAAUGGGUGCUGAUUUAUGGUUUUCAAAGAUCACUCUGGCUGCUCCAUGGAGAAUGUAUUUUAAGGAGGAAAGUGUAGGAGCGGGGAGACCAUUUAGGAGACUGUCGCUACUGGGUGAUGAUGGUGCAUUGGACCAGGGAGAAGAGGCUGAUGGAUUGGAAUAUGUUGAAGAACCAAGAGGAGUUCCUGGGGUAUAGUGUGGAGAGUGGAGCAACACAGAGGAUCCAGGAUGAUUCCUUCUUUCAGGUUCUAGAAAAUCUAAGGAAUCAGAGGAGGAAGAGGAGUCAUGUUCAAGAGAAUCUAGUGGCCCCAAAGGAGAACAUAAUGUAAAAAAAUUAAGCUUUUGUUGAAUUGAUUUUAAUUUAAUAUUAAAUAAUAUAAAGUAUUUAAAUGCAUUCAAAUUGUAUUAUUAAAGAGCAUUAUCUGAUACUGAAAUAAUAAUACAGACAUAUAGUUAUACAGACAGCAAGGAGAUCCAACCAGUCAAUCCUAAAGGAACUCAACCCUGAAUAUUCAUUGGAAGGACUGAUGCUGAAGCUGAAGCUCCAGUACUUUGGCCACCUGAUGUGGAGAGCUGACUCAUUGGAAAAGAUCCUGAUGCUGGGAAAGAUUAAAGGCAGGAGGAGAAGGAAGUGACAGAGGAUGAGAUGGUUGGAUGGCCUCACCGACUCAAUGGACAUGAGUUUGAGCAAACUCUGGGAGAUGGUGAAGGACAGGAAAGCCUGGUGUGCUGGAGUCCAUGGGGUCACAGAGUCGGACAUGACUUAGCAACUGAACAACAACAACAAAUACAGACAUAAUAAUGAUAACAGCUGAUAUUGAGGGCUGACCAUGUGCCAAGCAGCAUUCCAACACAAUUUAGCACAUGAUACUCAAUUCAUCCUCACAAUUGACCUAUUAUUCCCAUUUUACAGAUGGUGAUACUGACAUAUAAAGGGGCCAAUGAAAAGCCCUAAAGUCACAUUACAGUAACAACUAGUAGAUGUUAGGUUCAAAUAACUGGCCCCUAAAGUCUGCUUGAUGGCACAGCCCGCAUUGCUAACUAUUAAGCUUGACUUGCUGCCUCUGGAAUGGUGUUUCUCAAAGCAAGUGAUGUGAACCUGCCAACAUUUGCCUUUGUGAUUCCCAUUCUCAGUCUUAUACCUGAUCUAGUCUUCAUGAAUGAUUAACUCAUUCAAUCAAACUAUAGAAAAAAUUGUGUCAUCAGGGACAAUGUACAAACAUCUUACAAGGCAAAAGGGCCUUGUUUGUACUGAGAUAUUUCUCCACUGGUCUUAGAGAGAUUCAAAUGGUUCUUCUACAGUGGGACAUCUUUAGUUUUAA